GACAGAGGGUGCGAGCGUUGUUCGGAAUUACUGGGCGUAAAGCGCGCGUAGGUGGUUUGUUAAGUUGGAUGUGAAAUCCCCGGGCUCAACCUGGGAACUGCAUUCAAAACUGACAAGCUAGAGUAUGGUAGAGGGUGGUGGAAUUUCCUGUGUAGCGGUGAAAUGCGUAGAUAUAGGAAGGAACACCAGUGGCGAAGGCGACCACCUGGACUGAUACUGACACUGAGGUGCGAAAGCGUGGGGAGCAAACAGG
This 253-nucleotide ribosomal RNA is filed under the name uncultured bacterium. RNAcentral's name for it is "partial 16S ribosomal RNA". It matches the Rfam family "Bacterial small subunit ribosomal RNA", at positions 524 to 776 of the family's 1533-position model. The record is from RNAcentral.